Molecule: long non-coding RNA, 573 nt
Organism: Girardinichthys multiradiatus
Lineage: Eukaryota; Metazoa; Chordata; Actinopteri; Cyprinodontiformes; Goodeidae
Exons: 2
Source: RefSeq, a predicted model, not a curated record
UUCGUCCUUUAUUCCACAUGGUGUUGUUAUGUCUCUUUGGAUUUCGUUCUUGCGCCGGAUCCUGUUAAAUUCUACUUUGAAAUUGCAUUGUAAUCAGGAUUAUCUUGUCAUCCAGCACCUCGCCUGCAUUGCCUUGUGGUGCAUUCAGACUGACCAUGUGCUGUUCCUUGCCUGCCAUUUUGGCAGCAAUUCACUUGGCUAACGGGCGACAACGCUCCACUCGCUUCAUCGUGUUGUCAAAUAAGACGAGCUUCUAUCUGCUGCUUGCUGGUUUCAACACAACUUGGAGCGAGUCACGAUGCUUUAUUUAUGGAAAGCCAAACAAUGCUGCCGGCGUCGACGUCCCUGGGUUCACCAGAGUCUCAGGAGUACCAUCACCUACUCCAAGAGCUGCGUCUGGAUGACAGUCGCCAGUGGUACUUCAAUCUAUCCUGGACCAAAUUUGAGGACCUGCUGUCCCACGUUGGAGGACGAAUCAGCCUCCGGGACACCAACAACAGGCAUUUUAUCCUCACUGCAGAACGCCUGUCCAUUUCUCUUUGAGUAAAUAAAUCUCAGCUCAAUAGAAAAACA